RNAcentral lists this ribosomal RNA (433 nucleotides) under uncultured bacterium. RNAcentral's name for it is "partial 16S ribosomal RNA". It matches the Rfam family "Bacterial small subunit ribosomal RNA", at positions 29 to 507 of the family's 1533-position model. The record is from RNAcentral.
AACGAACGCUGGCGGCAUGCCUAACACAUGCAAGUCGAACGAGACCUUCGGGCCUAGUGGCGCACGGGUGCGUAACGCGUGGGAACCUGCCCUUAGGUUAGGAAUAACUCCCUGAAAGGGGUGCUAAUACAGGUUAAUGUAUUCGGACAAAAGAUUUAUCGCCUUUGGAUGGGCCCGCGUUGGAUUAGCUAGUUGGUAGGGUACAAGCCUACCAAGGCGACGAUCCAUGGCUGGUCUGAGAGGAUGAUCAGCCACACUUGGACUGAGACACGGCCCAGACUCCUACGGGAGGCAGCAGUGGGGAAUAUUGGACGAGGGGCGAAAGCCUAGUCCAGCAAUGCCGCGUGAGUGAUGAAGGCCUUAGGGUUGUAAAGCUCUUUUACCCGGGAUGAUAAUGACAGUAGCGGGAGAAUAAGCGCCGGCUAACUCCGUG